Molecule: unclassified non-coding RNA, 334 nt
Filed under: soil metagenome
Description: partial contains 5.8S ribosomal RNA, internal transcribed spacer 2, and large subunit ribosomal RNA
Rfam family: 5.8S ribosomal RNA (bases 1-120)
Source: RNAcentral
GAUGAAGAACGUAGCGAAAUGCGAUAAGUAAUGCGAAUUGCAGAAUUCCGUGAGUCAUCGAAUCUUUGAACGCACAUUGCGCCCGCCAGUAUUCUGGCGGGCAUGCCUGUUCGAGCGUCAUUUCAACCAUCAAGCCCCAGGCUUGUGUUGGAGCCCUGCGGCUGCCGCAGCCUCCCAAAACCAGUGGCGGGCUCGCUAUCACACCGAGUGCAGUAGUUUACUCUUCGCUCAGGGCGUGUGGCGGGGGCUAGCCGUAAAACCCCCAACUUCUCAAGGUUGACCUCGGAUCAGGUAGGAAUACCCGCUGAACUUAAGCAUAUCAAUAAGCGGAGGA